AUUGAACGCUGGCGGCAGGCCUAACACAUGCAAGUCGAGCGAGCGGCGGACGGGUGAGAAAUGUAUGGGGACUGCCCGAUAGAGGGGGAUAACUACUGUAAACGGUAGAUAAUACCGCAUACUAUCGGAUAACCCAUAUGGGAUUAGCGAGUAGGUGAGGGAAUGGCUCACCUAGGCGACGAUCCCUAGAUGGUCUGAGAGGAUGAUCAGCCACACUGGGACUGAGACCCGGCCCAGACUCCUACGGAGGCAGCAGUGGGGAAGAUUGCCCAAUGGUCGCACGCCUGAUGCAGCCAUGCCGCGUGUAUGCAGAAGGCCCUAGGGUUGUAAAGUACUUUCAGUCGGGAGGCGUUACCGACAGAAGAAGCACCGGCUAACUCCGUGCCAGCCGCCGCGGUAAUAC
This 403-nucleotide ribosomal RNA is filed under the name uncultured bacterium. Its description in RNAcentral is "partial 16S ribosomal RNA". It matches the Rfam family "Bacterial small subunit ribosomal RNA", at positions 30 to 526 of the family's 1533-position model. The record is from RNAcentral.